GACGAACGCUGGCGGCGUGCUUAACACAUGCAAGUCGAACGGUGAAGCUCGUUGCUUGCACUGGGUGGAUCAGUGGCGAAAGUGUCAGUUAUAUGUGAGUAACCUGCCCUUGACUCUGGGAUAAGCAUGGGAAACUAAGUCUUAAACUGGAUGUGACCUGCUAGUGCAGGGUGGGGAGUGUAAAGCGUUUUUGGGGCUUUGCAUGGGCUCUCGGCUUAUCGGCUUGUUGGUGGGGUAAUGGCCUACCAAGGCGACGCCGGGUAGCCGGCCUGAGAGGGUGACCGGCCACACUGGGACUGAGACACGGCCCAGACUCCUACGGGAGGCAGCAGUGGGGAAUAUUGCACAAUGGGCGGAAGCCUGAUGCAGCAACGCCGCGUGAGGGAUGACGGCCUUCGGGUUGUAAACCUCUUUCAGCACGGACGAAGCGUGUGUGACGGUACGUGCAGAAGAAGCGCCGGCUAACUACGUG
Molecule: ribosomal RNA, 472 nt
Filed under: uncultured bacterium
Lineage: Bacteria
Description: partial 16S ribosomal RNA
Rfam family: Bacterial small subunit ribosomal RNA
Source: RNAcentral